GAUGAAGAACGCAGUGAAAUGCGAUACGUAAUGUGAAUUGCAGAAUUCAGUGAAUCAUCGAAUCUUUGAACGCAUAUUGCGCUCUCUGGUAUUCCGGAGAGCAUGCUUGUUUGAGUAUCAGUAAACACCUCAACUCCCCUUUCUUUUUUUGAAAUGGGAGCUGGACUUGAGUGAUCCCAACGCUUUUCUCACCGAAAAGUGGCGGGUUACUUGAAAUGCAGGUGCAGCUGGACUUUUCUCUGAGCUAAAAGCAUAUCUAUUUAGUCUGCCUAAAAAACAGAUUAUUACCUUUGCUGCAGCUAACAUAAAGGAGAUUAGUUCUUGUGCUGACUGAUGCAGGAUUCACAGAGACAGCUUCGGCUGGCCUUUGUAAACUCGAUCUCAAAUCAAGUAAGACUACCCGCUGAACUUAAGCAUAUCAAUAAGCGGAGGA
This 433-nucleotide unclassified non-coding RNA is filed under the name soil metagenome. Its description in RNAcentral is "partial contains 5.8S ribosomal RNA, internal transcribed spacer 2, and large subunit ribosomal RNA". The stretch from base 1 to 120 matches the Rfam family "5.8S ribosomal RNA", at positions 35 to 154 of the family's 154-position model. The record is from RNAcentral.